This 253-nucleotide ribosomal RNA is filed under the name uncultured bacterium. RNAcentral describes it as "partial 16S ribosomal RNA". It matches the Rfam family "Bacterial small subunit ribosomal RNA", at positions 524 to 776 of the family's 1533-position model. The record is from RNAcentral.
UACGGAGGGUGCAAGCGUUGUUCGGAAUCACUGGGCGUAAAGCGCGUGUAGGCGGCCUUCUUAGUCUGGUGUGAAAGCCCGGGGCUCACCCCCGGAAGUGCAUUGGAUACUGGAAGGCUGGAGUACCGGAGAGGAGGGUGGAAUUCCUGGUGUAGCGGUGAAAUGCGUAGAUAUCAGGAGGAACACCGGUGGCGAAGGCGGGUCUCUGGGCCGAUACUGACGCUGAGGAGCGAAAGCGUGGGGAGCGAACAGG